CAGGAAGAGAUGAAAAUUCUAAGAGAGGUCCUCAGAAAAUCAAAAGAAGA
This 50-nucleotide unclassified non-coding RNA is filed under the name Mus musculus (house mouse). RNAcentral's name for it is "partial derived from hnRNA or mRNA fragment, or novel small non-messenger RNA without known sequence-or structural motifs". Lineage: Eukaryota; Metazoa; Chordata; Mammalia; Rodentia; Muridae. The record is from RNAcentral.